Molecule: transfer RNA, 93 nt
Filed under: Penicillium coprophilum
Lineage: Eukaryota; Fungi; Ascomycota; Eurotiomycetes; Eurotiales; Aspergillaceae
Rfam family: tRNA
About the family: Transfer RNA (tRNA) molecules are approximately 80 nucleotides in length.
Source: Rfam by way of RNAcentral
UUCGAUAUGGGGUAGUGGUUAACCUAGCGGAUUUUCAUUAUCUCUUCAAGAGUGUGUACUCCGCGGCCCCGGGUUCGAUUCCCGGUAUCGAAG